RNAcentral lists this ribosomal RNA (492 nucleotides) under uncultured bacterium. Its description in RNAcentral is "partial 16S ribosomal RNA". It matches the Rfam family "Bacterial small subunit ribosomal RNA", at positions 29 to 507 of the family's 1533-position model. The record is from RNAcentral.
AGUGAACGCUGGCGGUAGGCCUAACACAUGCAGGUCGAACGGCAGCACAGUAAGAGCUUGCUCUUACGGGUGGCGAGUGGCGGACGGGUGAGGAAUACAUCGGAAUCUACUUUUUCGUGGGGGAUAACGUAGGGAAACUUACGCUAAUACCGCAUACGACCUACGGGUGAAAGCAGGGGAUCUUCGGACCUUGCGCGAUUGAAUGAGCCGAUGUCGGAUUAGCUAGUUGGCGGGGUAAAGGCCCACCAAGGCGACGAUCCGUAGCUGGUCUGAGAGGAUGUUCAGCCACACUGGAACUGAGACACGGUCCAGACUCCUACGGGAGGCAGCAGUGGGGAAUAUUGGACAAUGGGCGCAAGCCUGAUCCAGCCAUACCGCGUGGGUGAAGAAGGCCUUCGGGUUGUAAAGCCCUUUUGUUGGGAAAGAAAAGCAGCAGGUUAAUACCCCGCUGUUCUGACGGUACCCAAAGAAUAAGCACCGGCUAACUUCGUG